RNAcentral lists this ribosomal RNA (838 nucleotides) under uncultured bacterium. RNAcentral's name for it is "bacterial SSU rRNA". It matches the Rfam family "Bacterial small subunit ribosomal RNA", at positions 62 to 869 of the family's 1533-position model. The record is from RNAcentral.
CCAAUUGAUUGACGGUGCUUGCAUCUGAUUGAUUUCGGUUGCCAACGAGUGGCGGACGGGUGAGUAACACGUAGGUAACCUGCCCAGAAGUGGGGGACAACAUUUGGAAACAGAUGCUAAUACCGCAUAACAGCGUUGUUCGCAUGAACAACGCUUAAAAGAUGGCUUCUCGCUAUCACUUCUGGAUGGACCUGCGGUGCAUUAGCUUGUUGGUGGGGUAACGGCCUACCAAGGCGAUGAUGCAUAGCCGAGUUGAGAGACUGAUCAGCCACAAUGGGACUGAGACACGGCCCAUACUCCUACGGGAGGCAGCAGUAGGGAAUCUUCCACAAUGGGCGCAAGCCUGAUGGAGCAACACCGCGUGAGUGAAGAAGGGUUUCGGCUCGUAAAGCUCUGUUGUUAAAGAAGAACACGUAUGAGAGUAACUGUUCAUACGUUGACGGUAUUUAACCAGAAAGUCACGGCUAACUACGUGCCAGCAGCCGCGGUAAUACGUAGGUGGCAAGCGUUAUCCGGAUUUAUUGGGCGUAAAGAGAGUGCAGGCGGUUUUCUAAGUCUGAUGUGAAAGCCUUCGGCUUAACCGGAGAAGUGCAUCGGAAACUGGAUAACUUGAGUGCAGAAGAGGGUAGUGGAACUCCAUGUGUAGCGGUGGAAUGCGUAGAUAUAUGGAAGAACACCAGUGGCGAAGGCGGCUACCUGGUCUGCAACUGACGCUGAGACUCGAAAGCAUGGGUAGCGAACAGGAUUAGAUACCCUGGUAGUCCAUGCCGUAAACGAUGAGUGCUAGGUGUUGGAGGGUUUCCGCCCUUCAGUGCCGGAGCUAACGCAUUAAGCACUC